Molecule: ribosomal RNA, 209 nt
Filed under: uncultured bacterium
Lineage: Bacteria
Description: partial 16S ribosomal RNA
Rfam family: Bacterial small subunit ribosomal RNA
Source: RNAcentral
CUAAUACCGCAUACGAUCUAAUCUCGGCAUCGAGGAUAGAUGAAAGGUGGCCUCUACAUGUAAGCUAUCACUGAAGGAGGGGAGUUGCGUCUGAUUAGCUAGUUGGAGGGGUAACGGCCCACCAAGGCGAUGAUCAGUAGCCGGUCUGAGAGGAUGAACGGCCACAUUGGGACUGAGACACGGCCCAGACUCCUACGGGAGGCAGCAUG